RNAcentral lists this ribosomal RNA (254 nucleotides) under uncultured bacterium. Its description in RNAcentral is "partial 16S ribosomal RNA". It matches the Rfam family "Bacterial small subunit ribosomal RNA", at positions 79 to 334 of the family's 1533-position model. The record is from RNAcentral.
CUUUCUUUGCUGGCGACCGGCGCACGGGUGAGUAACACGUAUCCAACCUGCCCUUUACUCGGGGAUAGCCUUUCGAAAGAAAGAUUAAUACCCGAUAGCAUAAUGAUUCCGCAUGGUUUCAUUAUUAAAGGAUUCCGGUAAAGGAUGGGGAUGCGUUCCAUUAGGUUGUUGGUGAGGUAACGGCCCACCAAGCCUUCGAUGGAUGGGGGUUCUGAGAGGAAGGUCCCCCACAUUGGAACUGAGACACGGUCCAA